RNAcentral lists this unclassified non-coding RNA (640 nucleotides) under Hevea brasiliensis (rubber tree). Lineage: Eukaryota; Viridiplantae; Streptophyta; Magnoliopsida; Malpighiales; Euphorbiaceae. The record is from RNAcentral.
GGAAAUUUCAUCGUGCAAAUAAUUGACAAAAAUUUUUAUCGUAUUUGAUUGAUGGAAGCAAGAAAACAAAUUAAACAUCAAAGCUCUUCUACAAACAUACAUAUCAAGUUACUACUUGAGGAUUUACAUGUAUGUACACCUGAGUUUGUAUUUGAUGAUAUCAGACUGUAGAGAUGGCUGAAGUCCUUUUCUUGAGAAUCAAUUUUCAAUUUGUAGAUAAGCAAACGAGCAAGGAAUCCUUCCAUCUUUUCCCUAAAUAAAACAAGAAAAUGAAACAUGAAAAAUUCAUUAAGAUUUGAAUAAGUUGCAUCACAAUGCUUAUUUAUACCAAGAAUACGCCGAAUUUGACAUUUAAUUCACUCAGCAAUAGAUUAAGAGUUACAGGUCCUUCUACAGAUUUUAGAAAAGCUCUAAGCUCAACAUACAUACAAGAAAGAACAUCGAUUUUUUCACCACUUGUUUUUGUGCUGGCUGUUAAUUAGUAGUUCGCCCUAGAGCAAUGCCUUUGUGUUGUGUAUUGUAAAUAUUAAUUCUCAUUUUAUGGCAAUUAUUAAUUUCUCUUAUAUUUGAAUGGUUUAAAUGUUAUAGAGAAAUUUCCUUUAAUGACUUGUUGAUGUUUUAUUCUUAAGUUGUUAAGAAU